RNAcentral lists this ribosomal RNA (627 nucleotides) under uncultured bacterium. RNAcentral's name for it is "bacterial SSU rRNA". It matches the Rfam family "Bacterial small subunit ribosomal RNA", at positions 212 to 863 of the family's 1533-position model. The record is from RNAcentral.
ACGGUGCCACAGGAUGAGCUCGCGUCUCAUUAGCUAGUUGGUAGGGUAAAGGCCUACCAAGGCGACGAUGAGUAGCCGACCUGAGAGGGUGAUCGGCCACACUGGAACUGAGACACGGUCCAGACUCCUACGGGAGGCAGCAGUGGGGAAUAUUGCGCAAUGGGGGAAACCCUGACGCAGCAACGCCGCGUGAGUGAUGAAGGCUUUCGAGUCGUAAAACUCUGUCUUCGGGGACGAUAAUGACGGUACCCGAGGAGGAAGCCCCGGCUAACUACGUGCCAGCAGCCGCGGUAAUACGUAGGGGGCAAGCGUUGUCCGGAAUCACUGGGCGUAAAGGGCGCGUAGGCGGUUUGUUAAGUCAGGUGUGAAAGUUUUCAGCUUAACUGGAAAAGUGCACUUGAAACUAACUUACUUGAGUACUGGAGAGGUAAGCGGAAUUCCUAGUGUAGCGGUGAAAUGCGUAGAUAUUAGGAAGAACACCGGUGGCGAAGGCGGCUUACUGGACAGAGACUGACGCUGAGGCGCGAAAGCGUGGGGAGCGAACAGGAUUAGAUACCCUGGUAGUCCACGCCGUAAACGAUGAGUAUUAGGUGUUGCCGAGAGGCAGUGCCGCAGUUAACACAAUAA